This 85-nucleotide transfer RNA is filed under the name Mycoplasmataceae bacterium. RNAcentral's name for it is "tRNA-Leu". It matches the Rfam family "tRNA". From Rfam's summary of the family: Transfer RNA (tRNA) molecules are approximately 80 nucleotides in length. The record is from RNAcentral. Lineage: Bacteria; Bacillati; Mycoplasmatota; Mollicutes; Mycoplasmatales; Mycoplasmataceae.
GCUCCUGUGGCGGAAUUGGCAGACGCGCUAGACUUAGGAUCUAGUACUUCACGGUGUAAGAGUUCAACUCUCUUCGGGAGCACCA